GGGAAGCCCAGACCAGUCAGGGACCCUCCCCAUGGAAAAUAGUUAUGUGAUACAUUGCCAUUCUGGCAAUAUAUUAAAUAACUAGUAAAUUAUAAUAUUUAACUAGUGAGCGCCCUCCUCGCAGUCCCGCCUCCCUAUUGUAUAACAUGCAGUAAGCGAUCCCUCGUGGUCCCAGGUACUCACAUAAUGACUCGGAGUGCUGCUGUUAUUGAGUUAAAGUGGUGCCACGUUAACCUAAGCAGUGGACAGGGC
Non-coding RNA from Pelobates cultripes (western spadefoot toad), 252 nucleotides. The record is from the annotation of a GenBank genome assembly. Lineage: Eukaryota; Metazoa; Chordata; Amphibia; Anura; Pelobatidae.